Molecule: ribosomal RNA, 1505 nt
Filed under: metagenome
Description: bacterial SSU rRNA
Rfam family: Bacterial small subunit ribosomal RNA
Source: RNAcentral
AGGGUUUGAUCCUGGCUCAGAACGAACGUUGGCGGCGUGGUUUAGGCAUGCAAGUCGAGCGAGAAAGCCCUUCGGGGUGAGUACAGCGGCGGAAGGGUGAGUAAUAUGUGAACAACCUACCCCCGAGACUGGAAUAACCUCCUCAACGGGAGGCUAAUGCCGGAUGGUGCCACGAGGUCGCAUGGUCUUGUGGUUAAAGGCGGGGUUUCCCUGCCACUCGAGGAGGGGUUCAUAUCCUAUUAGCUUGCUGGUGAGGUAACGGCCCACCAGGGCUGUGAUGGGUAGCCGGAUUGAGAGGUUGGCCGGUCACACUGGAACUGAGACACGGUCCAGACUCCUGCGGGAGGCUGCAGUCGAGAAUCUUCCGCAAUGGGCGAAAGCCUGACGGAGCGACGCCGCGUGGAGGAUGAAGGCCCUUGGGUCGUAAACUCCUGUCGGGGGUUAUGAAAUCUUAUGCGGUUAAUACCCGCAUUGGUUGACAAAGGCCCUAGAGGAAGCACUGGCUAACUACGUGCCAGCAGCCGCGGUAAUACGUAGAGUGCUAACGUUGUUCGGAAUCACUGGGCAUAAAGGGCCUGUAGGUGGUGUGGGAAGUCGGUUGUGAAAGCCCCUGGCUCAACCAGGGAACUGCGGCCGAGACUCCCGCACUUGAGUGUGAGAGGGGAGAGCGGAACUUCCAGUGGAGCGGUGAAAUGCGUAGAUAUUGGAAGGAACGCCGGUGGCGAAAGCGGCUCUCUGGCUCACUACUGACACUGAAGGGCGAAAGCCAGGGGAGCGAACGGGAUUAGAUACCCCGGUAGUCCUGGCCGUAAACGAUGGGCACUAAGUGGAGGGGAAACUACCCUUUCUCUCCUCUGAAGCUAAUGUGUUAAGUGCCCCGCCUGGGGAGUAUGGUCGCAAGGCUGAAACUCAAAGGAAUUGACGGGGGCUCGCACAAGCGGUGGAGGAUGUUGCUUAAUUCGAAUCAACGCGAAGAACCUUACCUGGGUUGAACUACGAGCUGCUACCCCUGUGAAAGCAGGGUUCCUUCGAGGGUGCUCGAUAGGUGUUGCACGGCUGUCGUCAGCUCGUGCCGUGAGGUGUUGGGUUAAGUCCCGUAACGAGCGCAACCCUUGUCCUUAGUUGCCAGCACUCCGGGUGGGGACUCUAGGGAGACUGCCGGUGCUAAGCCGGAGGAAGGUGGGGACGACGUCAAGUCAUCAUGGCCCUUACGCCCAGGGCUGCAAACGUCCCACAAUGGCCAGUACAGAGGGCCGCGAAGCCGCGAGGUGGAGCAAAUCUCAGAAAGCUGGUCUCAGUUCGGAUUGCAGGCUGCAAUUCGCCUGCAUGAAGUCGGAAUCGCUAGUAAUCGCGGAUCAGCAUGCCGCGGUGAAUAUGUUCCCGAGCCUUGUACACACCGCCCGUCAAGCCACCCAAGCAGGGCUUACCCGAAGUCCAUGACCCAACUCUGACGCCCUUCGGGGCAUGACGAGAGGGAGUGGCCGAAGGUGGGCUUUGUGAGGGGG